GNGGUGCUUCUUCUGUACCUACCGUCACUUGCGCUUCGUCGGUACUGAAAGAGGUUUACAACCCGAAGGCCGUCAUCCCUCACGCGGCGUCGCUGCAUCAGGCUUGCGCCCAUUGUGCAAUAUUCCCCACUGCUGCCUCCCGUAGGAGUCUGGGCCGUGUCUCAGUCCCAGUGUGGCCGGUCGCCCUCUCAGGCCGGCUACCCGUCGUCGCCUUGGUGGGCCGUUACCCCACCAACAAGCUGAUAGGCCGCGGGCCCAUCCUGCACCGGAAAACCUUUCCACCCCCCACCAUGCGGCAGAAGGUCCUAUCCGGUAUUAGACCCAGUUUCCCAGGCUUAUCCCGAAGUGCAGGGCAGAUCACCCACGUGUUACUCACCCGUUCGCCACUAAUCCACCCAGCAAGCUGGGCUUCAUCGUUCGACUUGCAUGUGUUAAGCACGCCGCCAGCGUUCGUCCUGAGCCAGGAUCANUNAAAAANNNN
Molecule: ribosomal RNA, 481 nt
Filed under: Rhodococcus rhodochrous
Lineage: Bacteria; Bacillati; Actinomycetota; Actinomycetes; Mycobacteriales; Nocardiaceae
Description: partial 16S ribosomal RNA
Source: RNAcentral